UGCCAUCCUGCAAGGCAGAUUUGG
RNAcentral lists this non-coding RNA (24 nucleotides) under Arabidopsis thaliana (thale cress). The record is from RNAcentral. Lineage: Eukaryota; Viridiplantae; Streptophyta; Magnoliopsida; Brassicales; Brassicaceae.